This 227-nucleotide ribosomal RNA is filed under the name uncultured bacterium. Its description in RNAcentral is "partial 16S ribosomal RNA". It matches the Rfam family "Bacterial small subunit ribosomal RNA", at positions 524 to 751 of the family's 1533-position model. The record is from RNAcentral.
UACGAAGGGGGCUAGCGUUGCUCGGAAUCACUGGGCGUAAAGCGCACGUAGGCGGAUUGCUAAGUCAGGGGUGAAAUCCUGGAGCUCAACUCCAGAACUGCCCUUGAUACUGGCGGUCUCGAGUCCGGGAGAGGUGAGUGGAACUGCGAGUGUAGAGGUGAAAUCGUAGAUAUUCGCAAGAACACCAGUGGCGAAGGCGGCUCACUGGCCCGGUACUGACGCUGAGG